Molecule: signal recognition particle RNA, 264 nt
Filed under: Bacillota bacterium
Lineage: Bacteria; Bacillati; Bacillota
Description: signal recognition particle sRNA large type
Rfam family: Bacterial large signal recognition particle RNA
About the family: The signal recognition particle (SRP) is a universally conserved ribonucleoprotein involved in the co-translational targeting of proteins to membranes. Archaeal SRP consists of a 7S RNA and homologues of the eukaryotic SRP19 and SRP54 proteins.
Source: RNAcentral
CCGCGCUAGUUGGGGAGUCAGCGGUUCUCUGUACCUGAAGUCCGCUAUAGCAGGAGCGAAUUCCGUCAAUGAGGCCCACCGGUGUGCUGUCGGAUCCGGGCAAGCAGUGAUGAUAAGCCGAUCCCGCGCAACAAAAACCCGUGAACCAUGUCAGGCGGGGAACCGAGCAGCAUUAAGCGGUUCUUUUGUGUGCCUCGGGUCUAGCGGUUUUGAGCCGGCUGCCCGGGUUACGGGCGUAUCGGUGUUUCGAAGGACGGUGUGCGG